RNAcentral lists this ribosomal RNA (497 nucleotides) under uncultured bacterium. RNAcentral describes it as "partial 16S ribosomal RNA". It matches the Rfam family "Bacterial small subunit ribosomal RNA", at positions 28 to 507 of the family's 1533-position model. The record is from RNAcentral.
GAUGAACGCUGGCGGCGUGCCUAAUACAUGCAAGUCGAGCGAACAGACGAGGAGCUUGCUCCUCUGACGUUAGCGGCGGACGGGUGAGUAACACGUGGAUAACCUACCUAUAAGACUGGGAUAACUUCGGGAAACCGGAGCUAAUACCGGAUAAUAUAUUGAACCGCAUGGUUCAAUAGUGAAAGACGGUUUUGCUGUCACUUAUAGAUGGAUCCGCGCCGCAUUAGCUAGUUGGUAAGGUAACGGCUUACCAAGGCAACGAUGCGUAGCCGACCUGAGAGAGGGGUCGGCCACACUGGAGCUGAGACACGGUCCAGACUCCUACGGGAGGCAGCAGUAGGGAAUCUUCCGCAAUGGGCGAAAGCCUGACGGAGCAACGCCGCGUGAGUGAUGAAGGUCUUCGGAUCGUAAAACUCUGUUAUUAGGGAAGAACAAAUGUGUAAGUAACUAUGCACGUCUUGACGGUACCUAAUCAGAAAGCCACGGCUAACUACGUG